UAGGGAAUCUUCCGCAAUGGACGAAAGUCUGACGGAGCAACGCCGCGUGAGCGAUGAAGGCCUUCGGGUCGUAAAGCUCUGUUGUUAGGGAAGAAUAAGUGCUAGUUGAAUAAGCUGGCACCUUGACGGUACCUCACCAGAAAGCCACGGCUAACUACGUGCCAGCAGCCGCGGUAAUACGUAGGUGGCAAGCGUUGUCCGGAAUUAUUGGGCGUAAAGCGCGCGCAGGCGGUUUCUUAAGUCUGAUGUGAAAGCCCCCAGCUCAACUGGGGAGGGUCAUUGGAAACUGGGAAACUUGAGUGCAGAAGAGGAAAGUGGAAUUCCAAGUGUAGCGGUGAAAUGCGUAGAGAUUUGGAGGAACACCAGUGGCGAAGGCGACUUUCUGGUCUGUAACUGACGCUGAGGCGCGAAAGCGUGGGGAGCAAAC
Molecule: ribosomal RNA, 427 nt
Filed under: uncultured bacterium
Lineage: Bacteria
Description: bacterial SSU rRNA
Rfam family: Bacterial small subunit ribosomal RNA
Source: RNAcentral